UCUGGCGGGGCCUGUGUUUUUACCCCGGCGUGUUCUCCAAACUCGGGUCGUUCUCCACUGGUCUUUCUCAUUUGCUUCGGGGCUAACGUGCUACAGCCUCUGUCACCCUGUGACCUGCAGGUACUGGGAGGUCCAUGGAGAGGACUGUAGGACUCUGAGCAAGGCGAGAAAUGGAACUGUUGACAUUUGGGGAUGUGGCCUCAGAAUUCUCUCCAGAGGAGUGAGCGUGCCCGGACCCUUACCCAGAGGAGUUUAUGUAAGGAUGUGAUGCUACAGAACUACAGAAAUCUGGUCUCCCUGGAGCUAAUCACCUGUCUGGAGCAAAGGAAAGAGUCAUGGAAUAUUUAAAAAGAGAAGAGGGUAGCCAAACACCCAGGCUGGUCAAGUGAAGCAGUGGGAGUGGAGAAGGAACAGAGGAAUCUGUAACUCGUUGUGAUCAAUUAGUUGUAACCUCAUUUAAAUUUCUUAAAGAUGCCUUCCUGGAAAUGGCUGAAUGACUGUUAUGGGAAUGAGAACUUCUAUGAAGAGAUGUGCCCUGCUGUUGAUGCCUCCUUGCAAACUGCCUUCCUGGUGGCAGGUCUCCAUGAGUCCUUCUAAGGCCUUUGCAAGACAAAUGUGGCUUUCUCAUGGAGAAUCUGAAAUUUGUGAAAACUGAAUUAAUUUCCUGAUCUUUAGAGGGUGCC
Lemur catta (Ring-tailed lemur) is the source of this 683-nucleotide long non-coding RNA. RefSeq lists it as uncharacterized. The record is from RefSeq and is a predicted model, not a curated record. Lineage: Eukaryota; Metazoa; Chordata; Mammalia; Primates; Lemuridae. The transcript has 5 exons.